AAAGUUUUAAAAGCUAUUUUCUGUCCUACUCUCAAACAGUAUAUUUUAAAGAAUAAGAACAACUCUUUAUCUUUCAACACUUGGCAAAUACUGAGCUUCAUCUUUUGUCCUCUGAUUUCCUACUGGUCUCAAGGAAGUGUGCCAGAUAGAAAGUACUUCAUGUUGUUUUCAUAAAAUACUUGGCAGAUACAAUAUAAAAUGAUGGGUUUCAUUCAAGACAUGGGUACUGUCAUGAGCUUUUCCAUGCACUCAAGUCCUGAGGCAAAACCCACUGAAGAAUUUCUGACAUCAAUGGGCUUUGGAUCUAAUCCAUAGACAGCUAGUUUCUUUUGGAAAACGUUGAGUGAAAUGUAAGUGAAAAGUUUUAUACAAGUAUUACUGUAGCAACCAAAGUAUAUUUAUAGCACUGGUGUUGUGAAGAUGAAAGAAUCGAAGGGAAAAUGCAUAUCGGAGGAAACAAGUGAAGUCAUCUUUACCCUACCCUGUAGUCUCUCAAAUUCAGCAUGAACGGUAAUUUGUGUUUCUAAGCAUUAAAAGAUGUCUUUUCAGUAUGCUGUAAAGGAACAAAUGCAUGCCUGUCUUUUGACUACCAGACCUUCACUGAAUUAAUCAUGGCAUGUAGCCUUCUCAGUCACAUUAAAUAUUUUGUCUGUUGUCCAUUUUGAAUAUGUAACUGGUGAAAUCUGCCAGUAAAGGUCAACACAAUUGUUAUAUCCCAAUUAAGAUUUAUUUUCUAGAUUUAAAAAUGUACCAGGCCCUUACAUAGGAGGAUGACUUCCAUUUUGUUUAAAA
RNAcentral lists this long non-coding RNA (792 nucleotides) under Anas platyrhynchos platyrhynchos (common mallard). Its description in RNAcentral is "lncRNA (ENSAPLG00000023556.1)". The record is from RNAcentral. Lineage: Eukaryota; Metazoa; Chordata; Aves; Anseriformes; Anatidae.